RNAcentral lists this ribosomal RNA (371 nucleotides) under uncultured Glomeromycotina. RNAcentral describes it as "partial large subunit ribosomal RNA". The record is from RNAcentral. Lineage: Eukaryota; Fungi; Glomeromycota.
UUGAAAGGGAAACGAUUGAAGUCAGUCGUACCUUCGGGUAAUCAGCCUUUCGGGUGCGAUUCUGUGGAGCGUGAGGAGUUAAACGCCUUCAUGCCUGCAUAUUCGUGCACUUUGGGUGUACUUGCCCGUGUGGUAGGUUAACAUCAAUUUCGGAUAUCAUAAAUUGGCUGGAGGAAUGUAGCUUCGGUCUCGUACUGAAGUGUUAUUGCCUCUGGUAGAUGUGAUGACCGGGAUUGAGGAUUGCAAGGAAUACCUUUGGGCUACCCGCCUGAUCUCUGAAGGUUGCUCUGGUGCCGAAAGCUUGCUUACGGUUAUCAAAGUUGACGUUCAAUUGGUUAGAACGGGUUAAAUUCGUUAAGGAUGUUGACGUA